AGAGAGAGACAUGCGCGCAUAUCAAUAAGCGGAGGAAAAGAAACUAACAAGGAUUCCCCUAGUAACGGCGAGGUGAAGCGGGGAAGAGCUCAAAUUUGAAAUCUUAAAGGGUUUCCCUUUACGAAUUGUAGUUUAAAGAAGUGUUUUCUGUUGAGGUUUUGGUAAAAGUUCUUUGGAAUAGGACAUCAUAGAGGGUGAGAAUCCCGUAUUUGACCUUUACUUUCAACUUUGUGAUACACUUUCAAAGAGUCGGAUUGUUUGGGAAUGCAGUCCAAAAUGGGUGGUAAAUUUCAUCUAAAGCUAAAUAUUGGCGAGAGACCGAUAGCGAACAAGUACCGUGAGGGAAAGAUGAAAAGAACUUUGAAAAGAGAGUUAAACAGUACGUGAAAUUGUCAAAAGGGAAGCGUUUGACACCAGUGUUGUUUUUCUGAAAAUCAAUUAAAGAACUGUUUAUGCUAAGUUGUUUAGACUUUAUCAGCUAACUGUUUAGUUUUGAGCUUUUCUUUAAUGCACUUUUCAGUUAACAAGUCAACAUCAAUUUCUUUUGCUGUAAAAAAGCUUGAGGAAGGUGGCUUGAGAUUCGUCUUAAGUGUUUAUAGCCUCUUGCCUAUGCAGUCGGAGAGAUUGAGGUCUGCAGCGUAGAUCCUUCGGGGCUAAAUGCAUUUGUGCUAAGUUAUAGCAUUUUAUAGACAACUUGUUGACUAUGAUUUGUCUUGUAGCUUACUCGCUUAUGUUAUUUUACCUACGCUUAGGAUGUUGAGCGCAUGUCUCUCUCU
This 776-nucleotide ribosomal RNA is filed under the name uncultured Neocallimastigales. RNAcentral's name for it is "partial large subunit ribosomal RNA". It matches the Rfam family "Eukaryotic large subunit ribosomal RNA", at positions 23 to 616 of the family's 3401-position model. The record is from RNAcentral. Lineage: Eukaryota; Fungi; Neocallimastigomycota; Neocallimastigomycetes; Neocallimastigales.